CCUCAAAUCAGGUAGGACUACCCGCUGAACUUAAGCAUAUCAAUAAGCGGAGGAAAAGAAACUAACAAGGAUUCCCCUAGUAACUGCGAGUGAAGCGGGAAAAGCUCAAAUUUAAAAUCUGGGUAGUCCUUGGCUGCCCGAGUUGUAAUCUAGAGAAGUGUUAUCCGCACUGGACCAUGUAUAAGUCUUCUGGAAUGGAGCGUCAUAGAGGGUGAGAAUCCCGUCUUUGACAUGGACUACCAGGGCUUUGUGAUGCGCUCUCAACGAGUCGAGUUGUUUGGGAAUGCAGCUCUAAAUGGGUGGUAAAUUCCAUCUAAAGCUAAAUAUUGGCGAGAGACCGAUAGCGAACAAGUACCGUGAGGGAAAGAUGAAAAGAACUUUGGAAAGAGAGUUAAACAGUACGUGAAAUUGUUGAAAGGGAAACGCUUGAAGUCAGUCGCGUUGAUCAGGGGUCAACCUUGCUCUCUUGCUUGGUGCACUUCCCGGUUAACGGGUCAGCAUCAAUUUUGACCAGCGGAAAAAGGUUAAGAGAAUGUGACAUCUUCGGAUGUGUUAUGCUCUCGAUUGUAUACAUUGGUUGGGCAUUGGAGAAUUCGACAGCCGCC
Molecule: ribosomal RNA, 605 nt
Filed under: uncultured Basidiomycota
Lineage: Eukaryota; Fungi; Basidiomycota
Description: LSU rRNA
Rfam family: Eukaryotic large subunit ribosomal RNA
Source: RNAcentral